Molecule: long non-coding RNA, 487 nt
Organism: Hyaena hyaena (striped hyena)
Lineage: Eukaryota; Metazoa; Chordata; Mammalia; Carnivora; Hyaenidae
Exons: 2
Source: RefSeq, a predicted model, not a curated record
UACAACUGGGACAAUCAUUUUGCUGUUUGGAAUUCAACUCCCAAUUAUCAAGUGAUUGCUGAUAAUCUUGAAGGCUUACUUUUCAAAUACAAAAGAGACAGAAAAAUUCUCAAUGUGGAUCCAAAGGUUCCCCCAGGUGACAACUCUACUAGAAUCCCUAUCCAGACAGAUCUCUACAUGCAAUCUGUCAUUUUCGACCACAUUUCCAGAAGAAAGACUUAACUACCAACCUGUCAGAAGGUCCCCCUAAUGGGCUUGCUAAAUUUAAGUGAAUGCUGUAACCAGAAGCAAAUUAGAAUAAUAAAUGAGUCCUGUAGCUGGAAGGCAAUGUCUUUGAUUGUGGGAAAUUAAAGCAUUUGGUAGUCAAGGGGCAUCAAGUCAGCAAAUUGUUUAUAAAUAUUUCAGGGGGACAAAGGUCUUUUUGCUGUACUUGAAAGUUCUGUAAUUCUGAGAUUAUUUUGAAAUAAAAUGUCUUUGAUUUAUUCCA